AAGGAAUAUUGGACAAUGGUCGCAAGACUGAUCCAGCCAUGCCGCGUGCAGGAAGACGGCCCUAUGGGUUGUAAACUGCUUUUGUACCAGAGAAAACCUAUCUACGUGUAGAUAGCUGAUAGUAUGGUAAGAAUAAGCAUCGGCUAACUUCGUGCCAGCAGCCGCGGUAAGACGAAGGAUGCAAGCGUUAUCCGGAUUCAUUGGGUUUAAAGGGUGCGUAGGCGGGCUUGUAAGUCAGUGGUGAAAUCUCUCAGCUUAACUGAGAAACUGCCAUUGAUACUGCAGGCCUAGAGUAUAGAUGACGUUGGCGGAAUAUGACAUGUAGUGGCGAAAUACUUAGAUAUGUCAUAGAACACCGAUUGCGAAGGCAGCUAACGAAACUAUAACUGACGCUGAGGCACGAAAGUGCGGGGAUCAAACA
Molecule: ribosomal RNA, 421 nt
Filed under: uncultured bacterium
Lineage: Bacteria
Description: bacterial SSU rRNA
Rfam family: Bacterial small subunit ribosomal RNA
Source: RNAcentral